AUGGCGGCUAUUCUACAAGUGGUGGUGGUACUACUACUAAGAGUGCUCUGGAGGCUGCUCUUCUUGCUCGAGGGAGACUUUAGGCUCUGCUUGUGUUGCUGCUCCGUUCUUGUGAAGCCAGCCUCUCCUUUUAUAGUCGAGGGAGGCGUUAGGGAGCCUUCUCUUUUUUAUUCAUAUGGCAGAGCCUUCUGGAGCGAGGAUAAGGAUGUCUUCACGAGAACGGCUGGCAGCUUCUCGUUAUUUGCAUUCCGGCCUCCUCAGCUCCUCGUUACUUGCAUUGCAGCCUUCUCAGCUUCGUUACUCACAUUCUGUCUUGACUCAGACACCUGCCUUCUUCUGCGAUGUAUGCGGCCAAGCUCAAGCUUGGUCUUCUUAUCUUCUUUUUUGUGGAUGAUGCUUGCUUCUUGCAGAAAUAUUCACUUUUUUGAUACGGGUCUACCCCGCCCAUAUUAUUGA
RNAcentral lists this ribosomal RNA (456 nucleotides) under Triticum aestivum (bread wheat). RNAcentral's name for it is "partial small subunit ribosomal RNA". The record is from RNAcentral. Lineage: Eukaryota; Viridiplantae; Streptophyta; Magnoliopsida; Poales; Poaceae.